UAAUCACAAUCUCUCUCUCAAAAAUUUCUCAGCACUGCACACUCACUCUCUCUGCAUAAUCUCGUCUGAUCUCACUUCACUAAUUAUAAAAUAUAAAUAAUUCAAUAAAUCAAAAUCACAUCACUCUCCCUUUCUCUCUCUAACAUUUUCUCUCUCUACUGUAACACAACAACACAAAUAAAAAACAGAGUAAUCAAUUUUUGAUUUCAUUUUCCUUCUUUUCAAAGCAAUGCAGCUACCGCGACAGAUCAUUUAAGUAGUAAAAAAAUGGCCGCUAAAUGUUCUCAUCGGAAUAACAGCGUCGGAUCCUUGAUUCUUGAACACCACCACCACCACCGCCAUAACCGUUCUUCCUCCACCGCCACCACCACCUCCUCUUCCUCCUCAGACAGUUCCCAUCAUUUCCGCCUCUGGUCUUCCUCAUUCCGCCGUACAAUCCUCGACGCCGUCAGCUGCGGCGGAAGCUCUCGAUACCGCCACCACGAGGACGACUUCGCUUCCACCACCACCGCCACAACAACCACCACCGUCACCAGUGCUACAAAUGUGAGUGAGAAAAAGAUAGGAAGAGUAAAAAACGGAAAAUCGGAGAAAUUAUCGGAUCUGUUGAGUAUAGCAGAAGCUGAAAGCGAAAUAGAGACGAUUAAAAAAGUAGAGGUAUUAGAAGAGUUGAAAUCCGUCGUUAAAGAGCUGCAAUUAGAAAAUGAGAGUGUUAAAAAAGAAUCAGCAGCUUCUCGUGUACGAUUGCUGGCGAAAGAAGACUGUGGAGUUCGAGUUACGCUUGCUAUGUUAGGUGCUAUUCCUCCUUUAGUUGCUAUGCUCGAUUUUGAUAAUGUCGACCUUCAUAUCGCUUCUCUCUACGCCUUGCUCAAUCUCGCCAUCGGCAAUGAUGCGAAUAAAGCUGCAAUUGUCAAAGCAGGGGCUGUUCAUAAAAUGCUGAAGAUCAUAGAAUCAUCAUGUCCACCAAACCCGUCCGUAUCUGAAGCAAUUAUAGCAAAUUUUCUUGGAUUGAGUGCUUUGGACUCGAAUAAACCUAUUAUAGGUUCUUCGGGUGCAAUCCCGUUCUUGGUAAAUGCCCUUAAGGAUUUGGACCAAAAAAGUAGCAUUCAAGCAAAACAAGAUGCUGUUCGAGCUCUCUACAACCUUUCAAUAUUUUCCCCUAAUGUAUCAUUUAUUGUAGAAACUAAUUUGAUUCCGUUUCUCAUGAAUUCACUGGGAGACAUGGAAGUAAGCGAAAGAAUACUUUCGAUUUUGAGCAAUGUAGUAUCGGCCCCAGAAGGUAGAAAGGCAAUUAGUAAAGUGCCGGAUGCUUUUACAAUUCUGGUCGAUGUGUUGAACUGGACAGACUCGCCUGGAUGCCAAGAGAAAGCGACUUAUGUACUGAUGGUGAUGGCACAUAAAGCGUAUGGAGACAGACAGGCCAUGAUAGAAGCUGGAAUUGUAUCAUCAUUGCUUGAAUUAACACUUUUGGGUAGCACAUUAUCGCAGAAACGGGCUUCGAGGAUCCUCGAGUGUUUGAGAGUAGAUAAGGGGAAGCAAGUUUCAGGUAGUUUUGGUGGGAAUUCGAGUGCAGCUGUCUCUGCUCCUAUGUAUGGAUCAUCAACCUCUUCAACAAACGCGAAUGGAGUCUCAAAAGAGUGUUUGGAGGAAGCGGAAGAUAUGAUGAGUGAGGAAAACAAAGCAGUGAAACAAUUAGUACAACAGAGUCUGCAGAACAAUAUGAGGAGAAUUGUUAAGAGGGCAAAUUUGCCACAAGAUUUCGUUCCGUCCGAGCAUUUUAAGUCGCUCACAGCAAGUUCAACUUCCAAAAGUUUACCAUUCUAAUGUGAUUGAAUGCAGCAAGAUAGGGAUGAAAUUUGAAAAGGAACACCUUGAAGCUACGGGAGGAAAAUGGAAGAAGAAUCUGAGGUGAGCUGUCUACUUAUAAAAUUUAUGCACAUUUUUUCCUCACCAGGUAUUUUUUAUUCUAAGUGCUGCUAUGGUGGUGGGGAAUGGUCACAUUAACUGAGUAAAGGAUCAUUUCGAUCUUUGAAUAUAUAAGACAAAGUUAUAUAAAUUAAGUUAUGCAAA
Molecule: RNA transcript, 2070 nt
Organism: Mercurialis annua (annual mercury)
Lineage: Eukaryota; Viridiplantae; Streptophyta; Magnoliopsida; Malpighiales; Euphorbiaceae
Gene name: U-box domain-containing protein 7
Exons: 3
Source: RefSeq, a predicted model, not a curated record